GAUUAAGUUAUUAAGGGCGCACGGUGGAUGCCUUGGCACUAGAAGCCUACGAAGGACGUUACUAACGACGAUAUGCUUUGGGGAGCUGUAAGUAAGCUUUGAUCCAGAGAUUUCCGAAUGGGGAAACCCAACACGAGUUAUGUCGUGUUAUCGAUAUGUGAAUACAUAGCAUAUCUGAAGGCAGACGCGGGGAACUGAAACAUCUUAGUACCCGCAGGAAGAGAAAGAAAAAUCGAUUCCCUGAGUAGCGGCGAGCGAAACGGGAAGAGCCCAAACCAACGAGCUUGCUUGUUGGGGUUGUAGGACACUCUAUACGGAGUUACAAAAGAACAAAUUAGACGAAUCAUCUGGAAAGAUGAAUCAAAGAAGGUAAUAAUCCUGUAGUCGAAAGUUUGUUCACUCUUGAGUGGAUCCUGAGUACGACGGAACACGAGAAAUUCCGUCGGAAUCCGGGAGGACCAUCUCCCAAGGCUAAAUACUCUCUAGUGACCGAUAGUGAACCAGUACCGUGAGGGAAAGGUGAAAAGUACCCCGGAAGGGGAGUGAAAUAGAACUUGAAACCGUGUGCUUACAAGUAGUCAGAGCCCGUUAAUGGGUGAUGGCGUGCCUUUUGUAGAAUGAACCGGCGAGUUACGAUUUGAUGCAAGGUUAAGCAGUUAAUGUGGAGCCGUAGCGAAAGCGAGUCUGAAUAGGGCGUUGAGUAUUUGGUCGUAGACCCGAAACCAGGUGAUCUACCCAUGACCAGGCUGAAGUUCAGGUAACACUGAAUGGAGGGCCGAACCGACUUACGUUGAAAAGUGAGCGGAUGAGUUGUGGGUAGCGGAGAAAUUCCAAUCGAACCUGGAGAUAGCUGGUUCUCUCCGAAAUAGCUUUAGGGCUAGCCUUAAGUAAUGAUUAUUGGAGGUAGAGCACUGUUUGGACGAGGGGCCCUUAUCGGGUUACCGAAUUCAGACAAACUCCGAAUGCCAAUCAAUUUUAUCUUAGGAGUUAGAACGCGGGUGAUAAGGUCCGUGUUCGAAAGGGAAACAGCCCAGACCACCAGCUAAGGUCCCAAAAUAUAUGUUAAGUGGAAAAGGAUGUGGCGUUGCCCAGACAACUAGUAUGUUGGCUUAGAAGCAGCCAUCAUUUAAAGAGUGCGUAAUAGCUCACUAGUCGAGUGACACUGCGCCGAAAAUGUACCGGGGCUAAACAUAUUACCGAAGCUGUGGAUUGUCCGUAAGGACAGUGGUAGGAGAGCGUUCUAAGGGCGUU
RNAcentral lists this ribosomal RNA (1251 nucleotides) under Staphylococcus equorum. RNAcentral's name for it is "partial 23S ribosomal RNA". It matches the Rfam family "Bacterial large subunit ribosomal RNA", at positions 1 to 1251 of the family's 2925-position model. Lineage: Bacteria; Bacillati; Bacillota; Bacilli; Caryophanales; Staphylococcaceae. The record is from RNAcentral.